Molecule: long non-coding RNA, 192 nt
Organism: Octopus sinensis (East Asian common octopus)
Lineage: Eukaryota; Metazoa; Mollusca; Cephalopoda; Octopoda; Octopodidae
Exons: 3
Source: RefSeq, a predicted model, not a curated record
UUGACUGCUGUGGCGAAAGAAACAAACAUUAUUGAAAACAUAAAAGAAACAGAUUUGGACAUUCCAGAUCCAAUGGGGACUUACCCCCAAACUUCCACAUGCAGUGGUGUGUCUCCAUCGUUGUCCACCACAUUGGCAUCGAUGCCAUUGUGACCCAACAACAUUUCGACAUUGUGCAAGUGUCCCCUCAAA